ACGGUGCUGAAGCAACAAAUGCCCUGCUUCCAGGAAAAGCCUCUAAGCAUCAGGUAACAUCAAAUCGUACCCCAAACCGACACAGGUGGUCAGGUAGAGAAUACCAAGGCGCUUGAGAGAACUCGGGUGAAGGAACUAGGCAAAAUGGUGCCGUAACUUCGGGAGAAGGCACGCUGACACGUAGGUGAAGUGGUUUACUCAUGGAGCUGAAGUCAGUCGAAGAUACCAGCUGGCUGCAACUGUUUAUUAAAAACACAGCACUGUGCAAACACGAAAGUGGACGUAUACGGUGUGACGCCUGCCCGGUGCCGGAAGGUUAAUUGAUGGGGUCAGCGCAAGCGAAGCUCCUGAUCGAAGCCCCGGUAAACGGCGGCCGUAACUAUAACGGUCCUAAGGUAGCGAAAUUCCUUGUCGGGUAAGUUCCGACCUGCACGAAUGGCGUAAUGAUGGCCAGGCUGUCUCCACCCGAGACUCAGUGAAAUUGAACUCGCUGUGAAGAUGCAGUGUACCCGCGGCAAGACGGAAAGACCCCGUGAACCUUUACUAUAGCUUGACACUGAACAUUGAGCCUUGAUGUGUAGGAUAGGUGGGAGGCUUUGAAGCGUGGACGCCAGUCUGCGUGGAGCCGACCUUGAAAUACCACCCUUUAAUGUUUGAUGUUCUAACGUGGACCCGUGAUCCGGGUUGCGGACAGUGUCUGGUGGGUAGUUUGACUGGGGCGGUCUCCUCCUAAAGAGUAACGGAGGAGCACGAAGGUUGGCUAAUCCUGGUCGGACAUCAGGAGGUUAGUGCAAUGGCAUAAGCCAGCUUGACUGCGAGCGUGACGGCGCGAGCAGGUGCGAAAGCAGGUCAUAGUGAUCCGGUGGUUCUGAAUGGAAGGGCCAUCGCUCAACGGAUAAAAGGUACUCCGGGGAUAACAGGCUGAUACCGCCCAAGAGUUCAUAUCGACGGCGGUGUUUGGCACCUCGAUGUCGGCUCAUCACAUCCUGGGGCUGAAGUAGGUCCCAAGGGUAUGGCUGUUCGCCAUUUAAAGUGGUACGCGAGCUGGGUUUAGAACGUCGUGAGACAGUUCGGUCCCUAUCUGCCGUGGGCGCUGGAAGAUUGAGGGGGGCUGCUCCUAGUACGAGAGGACCGGAGUGGACGCAUCACUGGUGUUCGGGUUGUCAUGCCAAUGGCACUGCCCGGUAGCUAAAUGCGGAAGAGAUAAGUGCUGAAAGCAUCUAAGCACGAAACUUGCCCCGAGAUGAGUCUUCCCUGAGACUUUAAGUCUCCUGAAGGAACGUUAAAGACGAUGACGUUGAUAGGCCGGGUGUGUAAGCGCAGCGAUGCGUUGAGCUAACCGGUACUAAUGAACCGUGAGGCUUAACC
RNAcentral lists this ribosomal RNA (1368 nucleotides) under Salmonella enterica. Its description in RNAcentral is "bacterial LSU rRNA". It matches the Rfam family "Bacterial large subunit ribosomal RNA", at positions 1579 to 2925 of the family's 2925-position model. Lineage: Bacteria; Pseudomonadati; Pseudomonadota; Gammaproteobacteria; Enterobacterales; Enterobacteriaceae. The record is from RNAcentral.